UGCCAGCAGCCGCGGUAAGACAGAAGGUGCAAGCGUUAAUCGGAAUUACUGGGCGUAAAGAGCACGUAGGUGGUGUUUUAAGUUGGAUGUGAAAUCAUUGGGCUCAACCUGAUGGGGUCAUCCAAAACUGAAAUACUAGAGAACAGGAGAGGAAAGAGGAAUUUCCGGUGUAGCGGUGAAAUGCGUAGAUAUCGGAAGGAACACCAGUGGCGAAGGCGACUUUCUGGUCUGUUUCUGACACUGAGGUGCGAAAGCGUGGGGAGCAAACAGGAUUAGAUA
Molecule: ribosomal RNA, 279 nt
Filed under: uncultured bacterium
Lineage: Bacteria
Description: partial 16S ribosomal RNA
Rfam family: Bacterial small subunit ribosomal RNA
Source: RNAcentral